Non-coding RNA from Meleagris gallopavo (turkey), 3897 nucleotides. The record is from RefSeq and is a predicted model, not a curated record. Lineage: Eukaryota; Metazoa; Chordata; Aves; Galliformes; Phasianidae.
GCUGCUUGCAGAAGCAGAGGAGAAACGUGUGGGGGCCGGAAGGAAAGACACUGAGGAAAGCAAUUGCAGGGCCCACAUCUGCCAGCAGAGCAGGAAGCUCUUAGGAUUCCUGCUGUGUGGAUUCAGAGGGAGAUCAGCUGGGAAGCAGGGAGAGGUGACAUCGUGGCUCUGAAUCCUCUCCAGCAAUCUGUUCUAAUGUUCUGACAAGGACCUGCCAGAAGAGGGCUGGAGACUCCGAGCAGAUCCCUUAGACGACUGAUAACUAUCAGACAAACAGUGUCGAGUCUGAUGCCAGCGCAGCCUGAUGCAACACCUCUGUGCCUCCGCUCCGGGAUGUGCUCUGCUCUGCAGCCCGCACCUCUCCUUGCAGCUCCUUAAAGAGACCGCUGUCCCUCUGAAAACGCCCUGCAGAGCGAGCUCGGCCUAAAAAAAUCACGAGGAAAGAAAAACAUCACACCCUGCAAGGCGGCAAGAGACAUGGGAAAGCUCACACCCACCGGCACACGCUGCUUGUGCCCGGCCCUGUGAAGUGUCAGCUCCAGCACGGCCCUAACGAGCUGCUGAGGCGUUGGGUCCCACCCUGGGUCUGUUUAUCCGUGCCUUGGCGCAGUGGCAGUGUGUCCCGUGGUCCUCUUGUCUGGGGAAAGGGAAGUGGUGCUGCUCCUCCAGUGUGGCUGCAGCUCUUGGUUAUGAGCUCCUGUUUGCAGGCGUGUGAAUGAUGGCACAAAUCCCUUCCUCUCUCUGCAUGGCAGUGCCACUCCUCGCUGGGCCAUGCAUUGCAGGAGUGCAGCUGAGGCCAAGGCCUGCUGCUCCCUGCUCCCUCACUGGGACUUUCCUCUGGGCAGCUUUGAGGAGUGGGGAUGAAAGGCGGCACGGUGGAAGCACGAAGCUCGCCUGGUUUAUUUAUUUAUAACUGGCGUCUGCUUGAAAGGAAGCCGGCACUAUCAGCUCCAGCACCACCGGGUUAAAUGAGUAAAUGAAAGAGGAGUUUUGCGUAUAUUCUGGAGCUCAAGUUUGCUCUUAUAUGGGCAUCCCACCAGGCGCUGCUUGCUGGUACCUUGCUGCUUGUGGUGUGGGACGUUCAGGCUCCAGCAGUGAGCCAGGGACCUGUCUAUGUGACAAGCAGGAGGCACAGAGGGUGGGUGAGCUCAGGCUGCAGCCACCUCCAUUCCCCUGGCCUGGGCUGCCUGCAUGCUCUGGCCCUGCUGCAGUCAGGGCAUGGCUGUUCUGUAAGAAAGCAAGGCUUGGUGCAUGGUGUUGUUUACCACCCAGGGUUCCUUGAGCCUGAUGCAACACCUCUGUGCCUCUGCUCCAGGAUGUGCUCUGCAUCCUGAUUUGAUCAUCCAUAAGUAUUUGCCCUGCUGUGUUUGCUGGUACCUGAUUUGUCCCUUCCAAACUCCCCAGGGAGACACCUGCCUCCUUCUCCCCAGGAUGGAUGGGGAGGAGCAGCGCUGGUGCCCAAUGUCAGAGUGUGGCUGCUGUGUGUGGCCCCCAUGGGAUCUCUGACUCAUGGCUAAAGUGAUGACAGAGCCCUGAGAUGAAGAGGGGAGAAAUGUGAGCCCUCCCUUCUCCACUCCAGUCUAGAUGUGGGGACUUCCUGCUUCCUGGAGAUGGAGUCAGGUUUGGCAAAGCCCAUUCCAUCCCCUGCAGCCUCAUCAAAAAGUAUUGUCAAUCCAGAAGCACUUCCCAGGUGAGGUGAGGCUUUGAGGGCCAGGUUUCCUUGGUCUAAGUGGCUCUGAUUUGGUGCUGAGUGAUUUACUGCCCUAAAAUGCCGGGGGAGGAGGCACAACUGUGGAGGGGCUGCAGCUUGGCCGCAGGCUUUCACUCCCACGAGUAACAGCACGACGGCCUCUUGCUAAUUCUCUCCCUGCAAGCCCCAUGCCAGCUCCUUGGACAGGGACCCACGUGGCAACAGGCCUGAGCACGGCACAGGCAGCCACAUUCCACGUAUCAUCAAAGGCUGCAUUCCUCCCCGGGAGCUGUGCGUGGGAUGGAGCCGCAGUCGUGCGCCUGCAGCUGCUGUUGGGGAGGAGACAGAGGAGGGGGAAGCCCGGAGCUGGGUGGAAGGAGGGAGCUGACCUGUGAGGUUUGAGUAUACAUCAGACACAGGUGCAUCCUUUGAGUUGGAGCUCUGGAAGCUUUCCGCAGGUUCCAGAGGUUUAGGUGUGGGGGCAUCGGGAUGUGUGGAGCCCACCAGCUCUUUGCAAGGGUUGUUGGCAUGAGGAAUCAGAGUGGCAUGCAGGGAUCACACAGCCCUUCCCAUGCUCGUGUUUGAAACCCUGACAACAACUAUCCUAGAGGCUGCAUCCAUCCCAGCCCCUGGAGUGAUGGGGAAUGAUACGCAGGAGAUGAGUGAACAGAAGGGCAUUUUUGGCUUGCAGGCCCUUCUGAGGGGAAUCAAUACCAGCAAGACUCCAGACAAUGAUCUGCCUGACCACCAAGUCAGCAAACCGUGAGCUUGGAGUCUUGGUCCUCCCCACGUGAGUUGUGACCUCUGCUGCAUAGGGCUGGCAUUGGGGUGUUGCAGCAAGUUGUGAGGCAGCGGGGGGGGGGGGGAGGAUGCAGCUUUCUGCUAUUUUGGAGAGCAGGGAGGAAGAGGAAGGGCUGCUGACAAAGACUGAAACUCGAAAAAUGACGAUGGUGACAAAAAAACCUUCUCCCAUUUGGGGAACCAAGUGUAUUUGUUUCCUAAUGUGAUCAGGAUAGCUCAAACUGAGAGAAGCACGUUCAUGUCAUUGACUUGCAACGUUUCAAGUUGGGUGGGUUUUGGAAACGGAGCAAAGUGUACCAGUCUCACUCCCUCCAGACUCACACAGGGGCCGAAAGACUUCUUCAGCCAAACACCUAAACCCUGAGCCUGAAUGCUUUCUCUCUUCUCCCCUAGCAGCCCUUAGCUGUGCCACCAUGCAGGGCUUGCUACCAGCACCUGGUGCUCGCACCUCAGAAGCCAGGCUGCACCAGGUUAAGCCAAGAAGGUGGCAGCACCACAUUUUCCUUCCCUCUAGCCCUGUUUGCUGUUGCUCAUCCUGCUACUCACCCUGAUCCCCCUCGGGAGUUCUGCUUCCCUCUGCCCCUUCCCGCAGAGAGACUCCCUGACCCUCCUCCAGCUCCUCAUCUGCAGAGAGCAAAGUUGUUCUUCAGAUGAACAAUGAGACAGUCAGUGCCCCAGGGAGCCUGUGGUCAAGACAAGGAGAUGCCAUGUCAUUUGGUUUCUUCUUUACUUUCAUAUUGGCUUUUAUAGCUGCAGAUGGGCUCCAGCCACAAAUCCAGCUCCCAGUGCCUUGGGCGGAGGCUGCUGAUUCAGUCCCUCUCUAUUUCUGGUGUUGGGCUUAUAUAUAAUUUAUUCCUAUAUAGUUACAGAUAUAGCUGUGCAGAGCAUGAGAAUUUCAGUGGGGACGUGAAGGGUGGUUUAUGAGUGAACCAUCAGUGUGUGUGAGAUUUCAGUGAGAGGAACAGUCGUAAACUGGUAACAAGGGCACAGUGCUGGGAGAUGCCUCAUGCCUGUGAAGGGGUUCAUCCAGGGAAGGCUGAGGCUCACCGCAGACAUACCCACAUCCUGACUGCAAUGUUCCUGCUCAUAGAGUUGAGCUGGGGAGUGGGGCUGAAGGUCCAUCAGCUUGCAGCUCAGAAGGAAAGGCUUGGGAGCUGAGGAUGUACCUGCAGCUCUUCCUUGUGCUGCGCUCAGCUGCACUCCCACCAAGGCUGAUAGUGAGUUUCCAACCCCACGCAUGGACCAAGCACACAUGGAGAUGUCCAUCAGUCAUGGCUGGGGCAUAGCUCCCGUGGAUGGGAUGGAAGAGGGGGUGCAGGGUUCCACCCCCAAUCUCCACAAACCAUCUGGGAUAACUCUGAUCUGCCUGAGCACUUAAUCAAUCCUAUUUUGUACACGAUGCAGAA